RNAcentral lists this ribosomal RNA (481 nucleotides) under uncultured bacterium. RNAcentral describes it as "partial 16S ribosomal RNA". It matches the Rfam family "Bacterial small subunit ribosomal RNA", at positions 28 to 507 of the family's 1533-position model. The record is from RNAcentral.
GACGAACGCUGGCGGCGCGCUUAACACAUGCAAGUCGAACGGAAAGGCCUGCUUUCCCUUGUGGAUUGCGGGUACUCGGGUGGCGAACGGGUGAGUAACACGUGAGUGAUCUGCCCCCAACUUGGGGAUAAGCCUGGGAAACUGGGUCUAAUUCCCGAUAGGACUGCAGGGUGGUGCCUGUGGUGGGAAACGAUUUUCUAGUGGUUGGGGAUGAGCUCGCGGCCUAUCAGCUUGUUGGUGGGGUAAUGGCCUACCAAGGCCGCGACGGGUAGCCGGCCGGGGAGGGUGGAGGGCCACAUGGGGACUGAGAUCCGGCCCAGGCGCGUACGGGAGGCAGCAGUGGGGGAGAUUGCACAAUGGGCGCAAGCCGGAUGCAGCGACGCCGCGUGGGGGAUGACGGCCUUCGGGUGGGAAACUACUUUCGCUAGGGACGAAGCUUUUUGUGACGGUACCUAGAUAAGAAGCACCGGCUAACUACGUG